RNAcentral lists this ribosomal RNA (524 nucleotides) under uncultured bacterium. RNAcentral's name for it is "partial 16S ribosomal RNA". It matches the Rfam family "Bacterial small subunit ribosomal RNA", at positions 28 to 523 of the family's 1533-position model. The record is from RNAcentral.
GACGAACGCUGGCGGCGUGCCUAAUACAUGCAAGUCGAACGAAGCUUUUUUAACUGGUGCUUGCACCGACUUAAACAACUGAGUGGCGAACGGGUGAGUAACACGUGGGUAACCUGCCCCAAAGCGGGGGAUAACAUUUGGAAACAGAUGCUAAUACCGCAUAACCACAGAAACCACAUGGUUUCUGUGUCAAAGAUGGUUUCGGCUAUCACUUUGGGAUGGACCCGCGGCGUAUUAGCUAGUUGGUAAGGUAAUGGCUUACCAAGGAAAUGAUACGUAGCCGAACUGAGAGGUUGAUCGGCCACAUUGGAACUGAGACACGGCCCAAACUCCUACGGGAGGCAGCAGUAGGGAAUCUUCCACAAUGGACGAAAGUCUGAUGGAGCAACGCCGCGAGAGUGAAGAAGGUUUUCGGAUCGUAAAACUCUGUUGUCAGAGAAGAACGUGUGCGAGAGUAACUGUUCGUGCAGUGACGGUAUCUGGCCAGAAAGCCACGGCUAACUACGUGCCAGCAGCCGCAGUAA